RNA transcript from Vigna angularis (adzuki bean), 3294 nucleotides. It is a transcript of the gene named probable splicing factor 3A subunit 1, with no coding region annotated. NCBI's taxonomy places the organism in Eukaryota, Viridiplantae, Streptophyta, Magnoliopsida, Fabales, Fabaceae. The transcript is spliced from 7 exons. The record is from RefSeq and is a predicted model, not a curated record.
AUUGAGGGAAUAGUUUCGUCUGAGGAGAAAGAUCUCCACCCACCCUUUUGCUCCAGUAAGAUUCGAUUUAGUUUCCUUUGGUUCUUGCGGAAGGAAAAAUUUGGAGCAAGAAGCUGGUUUGGUGUUUCUUUUGUUUCACUUUUAUGAAUACCUGAAUUUUGAAGGGUUUUAGGGUUUUGCAACAUGUUAGGUUCAUUACCUAUAUUGCCUCUCCCUGCACCUCCUGCUGAUGGAAAUCUAGGUCCUCUUCCUGAGUCUCAAGUGUCUGAGGAGAGGACUUCCAAUGAGGAGCAGAACAAAUCAAAUUCAGCUUCUGUCCCAGUGCCAGCAACAGUUGCAACCCACACAAGAACCAUUGGAAUUAUACACCCUCCUCCAGAUAUUAGGACCAUUGUUGAUAAAACGUCCCAGUUUGUGGCUAAAAAUGGUCCAGAAUUUGAAAAGAGGAUUAUUGCAAAUAACACGGGCAAUGUCAAGUUCAAUUUCCUUAACUCAUCAGAUCCCUAUCAUGCAUAUUAUCAACAUCGGUUGGCUGAUUUUCGGGCUCAGAAUCAAUCAUCAGGGCAGCAAACUCCUUCCCAGCCUGCUGACUCGGCUAUUCCUGAGUCAGCUCCAACUGCCCCUGUCCCUGAUAGUAAUGGCAUAGCAGCAGUAGAAAAGCUCGAUGUUUCUGCCCAGUUUAAACCUAUUAGGAAAGUACUUGAACCCCCAGAAGCAGAACAGUAUACUGUUCGGCUUCCUGAAGGAAUUACAGGUGAAGAGCUGGAUAUUAUAAAGCUUACAGCACAAUUUGUGGCUCGAAAUGGGAAAUCUUUUUUGACAGGGUUGACAAGUAGGGAAGUCAAUAAUCCCCAGUUCCACUUUUUGAAGCCGACCCACAGCAUGUUUACGUUUUUUACUUCCCUUGCGGAUGCAUAUUCGAAGGUUUUGAUGCCUCCAAAGGGAUUGACAGAGAAGCUGAAGAAGAGUGUGUCUGAUAUGACUACUGUCCUUGAAAGGUGUGUGAAUAGGCUGGAAUGGGAGCGUUCACAAGAGCAAGCUAGACAAAAGGCCGAGGAUGAGAUAGAACAGGAAAGAAUACAAAUGGCUAUGAUUGAUUGGCAUGAUUUUGUGGUGGUUGAAUCAAUAGAUUUUGUUGAUGAGGAGGAUGAAGAAUUACCUCCUCCAAUGACAAUUGAGGUGGUUAUUAGGAGAAGCAAGGUGUCAGCCACGGAAGAUGAUACUGUUGAGCCUGAAAAGGAGGUUGAAAUGGAAAUGGACGAGGAAGAGGCUCAGCUUGUUGAAGAGGGCAUGAGAGCUGCUAGUUUGGAAGACCCAGAUGACGGGAAGCAAAAUGAAGUCAGAGUUACUGAAGACCCUGAACCACCAAUGAGAAUUGUUAAAAACUGGAAGAGACCCGAGGAGAGGAUUCCCGCAGAAAGAGAUUCAGCCAAGUUCGUUGUUUCUCCUAUCACCGGUGAGCUAAUUCCUAUUAGCGAAAUGUCAGAACAUAUGCGAAUUUCUCUCAUCGAUCCCAAGUACAAAGAACAAAAAGAAAGGAUGUUUGCCAAAAUUCGAGAGACAACUUUGGCUGCGGAUGAUGAAAUUUCAAGAAACAUAGUUGGACUUGCCCGGACCCGUCCUGAUAUAUUUGGUACCACCGAAGAGGAGGUCUCCAAUGCUGUCAAGGCAGAGAUUGAGAAGAUAAAUGACGAGCAACCUAAGCAGGUUAUAUGGGAUGGUCACACAGGUAGUAUUGGGCGUACUGCAAACCAAGCCAUGUCACAGAAUAUUGGAAAUGAGGACCAAAAUGAUACAUCUAAUAAUGAAGCCAAGAAUUUUCUUGGUCCUGCUGCACCUCCUCCAAGACCUGGUAUGCCUUCGGUUCGUCCACUUCCGCCAUCACCUGGAUUGGCUUUAAAUCUUCCUCGUGGUCCUGUCCAGUAUUCUGUUCCUCACAGUGGUGCACUUCCAAUUCCUCCACCCAGGCCACCUGUCAUUUCGAUGAUGCCAUCUGUUCGGCCAGCUCCUCCUCCUCCAAUGCAGAUGACUUCUGGACAGCAGUCAAUUAUGGCUGGUCAACCUCCCCCAAUGCCUCCAUCAAUGCAUCUGAAUAACCAAGGAUUUCAAAUACCUCCACCACCAGGAUCCCAAUUUACUCCUGUUCCAGUUCCCCGACCUUAUGUUCCUCUUCCUGUUCCACCAUCAGUUAUGCCUAUGAUGCAUCCACCACCUUUGCCACAAGGAGUGCCACCACCGCCACCACCAGAGGAGGCUCCUCCCCCACUCCCAGAAGAACCGGAACCUAAGAGGCAGAAGCUUGACGAUUCUGCUCUGAUCCCUGAAGAUCAAUUUCUGGCUCAACAUCCUGGACCUGUUCGUAUCUUGGUAUCUGUUCCUAAUGUUGAUGAAGGAAAUCUCAAGGGACAAGUUCUGGAAAUUACAGUGCAAUCUUUGUCUGAAACCGUUGGUAGUUUGAAGGAAAAAAUUGCCGGGGAGAUUCAGCUUCCUGCUAAUAAGCAGAAAUUGAGCGGAAAACCAGGCUUUCUCAAGGAUAACAUGUCACUUGCCCAUUACAAUCUUGGUGGAGGUGAAACACUUACUCUCACCUUAAGAGAGCGUGGUGGUAGAAAGAGAUGAGAUUGUCGCGGAUGAAGAAGAUUUUGGCACAUUGGCGCUUCUCUCUUGAGGGAAUGGGAAGUAGUGGAGUUCCUUUAAUCUAAUAUGCUCUAUCCAAAUUAUUUGCAUCACUGAUUAUUGCUUUCUUCUGUAUUUCAGUUUAGUAUUUUUGUUUUAAUUGGGAAGUUUCUUUGCUGUCAGGGAGGGAUUAUUUACAUAUUGACUUUUUGUUUGUUGUUUCAUUUUCAGUAUUGCAAUAAUCACCGUGAAGUGAUGAUUUAGUGUUUUCUUUUUCUUUUCAUUUUGUCUUCUUCCUAGUGUUUAGGUUUUUGCCAUAUAUUGGAUAUUUUCUCGUACAAGGACACUGUUGGACAGUUGGUUAGAAAGGCAUUGGUUGCUGAGAGCUUAUGUACCUUUAGCUGGGGUAUCUUGUUUGGGUUCUAGUCAAGAGAAAUUCUACUUGGAGUUGUGGGAAGGGCUGUGCAGCUUAGCCUGAUGUAUUUUUGAAUGAGAUGAUGCGCAGAAUGGACCAGGUUUGGUAUUUUAAAGAAGGCACCGAUUCUCGUGUUCAUCUUUUUUGGGAUAUGUUAGGAAACUCUAUGUUUAAGUUGCCACUGAAUGAUUAAGAUUAUCUGGUCAUCCUUAUUCUGCCAUUGUUUAUUUGGUGGAGCUUUUAUUUAAUUGUGCAUUUGUUUC